UGCGUAGGCGGUUUAUUAAGUCAGUGGUGAAAUCUGGUCGCUCAACGAUCAAACUGCCAUUGAUACUGUUAGACUUGAAUAAUUGUGAAGUAACUAGAAUAUGUAGUGUAGCGGUGAAAUGCAUAGAUAUUAUCCAGAACACCGAUUGCGAAGGCAGGUUACUAAGUCAUAACUGACGCUGAGGCACGAAAGUGUGGGGAUCAAACAGGAUUAGAUACCCUUGUA
This 225-nucleotide ribosomal RNA is filed under the name uncultured Flectobacillus sp. RNAcentral describes it as "partial 16S ribosomal RNA". It matches the Rfam family "Bacterial small subunit ribosomal RNA", at positions 568 to 792 of the family's 1533-position model. The record is from RNAcentral. Lineage: Bacteria; Pseudomonadati; Bacteroidota; Cytophagia; Cytophagales; Flectobacillaceae.